RNAcentral lists this ribosomal RNA (537 nucleotides) under Diaporthe eres. Its description in RNAcentral is "eukaryotic LSU rRNA". The stretch from base 193 to 346 matches the Rfam family "5.8S ribosomal RNA". The record is from RNAcentral. Lineage: Eukaryota; Fungi; Ascomycota; Sordariomycetes; Diaporthales; Diaporthaceae.
GCGGAGGGAUCAUUGCUGGAACGCGCCCCAGGCGCACCCAGAAACCCUUUGUGAACUUAUACCUUACUGUUGCCUCGGCGCUACGUGGUCCUUCGGGGCCCCUCACCCUCGGGUGUUGAGACAGCCCGCCGGCGGCCAACCCAACUCUUGUUUUUACACUGAAACUCUGAGAAUAAAACAUAAAUGAAUCAAAACUUUCAACAACGGAUCUCUUGGUUCUGGCAUCGAUGAAGAACGCAGCGAAAUGCGAUAAGUAAUGUGAAUUGCAGAAUUCAGUGAAUCAUCGAAUCUUUGAACGCACAUUGCGCCCUCUGGUAUUCCGGAGGGCAUGCCUGUUCGAGCGUCAUUUCAACCCUCAAGCCUGGCUUGGUGAUGGGGCACUGCUUUUACCCAAGAGCAGGCCCUGAAAUUCAGUGGCGAGCUCGCCAGGACCCCGAGCGCAGUAGUUAAACCCUCGCUCUGGAAGGCCCUGGCAGGGCCCUGCCGUUAAACCCCCAACUUCUGAAAAUUUGACCUCGGAUCAGGUAGGAAUACCCG